RNAcentral lists this ribosomal RNA (253 nucleotides) under uncultured bacterium. RNAcentral describes it as "partial 16S ribosomal RNA". It matches the Rfam family "Bacterial small subunit ribosomal RNA", at positions 524 to 776 of the family's 1533-position model. The record is from RNAcentral.
UACGUAGGGUGCGAGCGUUAAUCGGAAUUACUGGGCGUAAAGCGUGCGCAGGCGGUUUUGUAAGCCAGAUGUGAAAGCCCCGGGCUUAACCUGGGAAUGGCAUUUGGGACUGCAAGGCUUGAGUGCGGCAGAGGAGACUGGAAUUCCUGGUGUAGCAGUGAAAUGCGUAGAUAUCAGGAGGAAUACCGAUGGCGAAGGCAGGGCUCUGGGCUGACACUGACGCUCAUGCACGAAAGCGUGGGGAGCAAACAGG